GAUGAACGCUGGCGGCGUGCCUAAUACAUGCAAGUCGAGCGAACAGACGAGGAGCUUGCUCCUCUGACGUUAGCGGCGGACGGGUGAGUAACACGUGGAUAACCUACCUAUAAGACUGGGAUAACUUCGGGAAACCGGAGCUAAUACCGGAUAAUAUAUUGAACCGCAUGGUUCAAUAGUGAAAGACGGUUUUGCUGUCACUUAUAGAUGGAUCCGCGCCGCAUUAGCUAGUUGGUAAGGUAACGGCUUACCAAGGCAACGAUGCGUAGCCGACCUGAGAGGGUGAUCGGCCACACUGUAACUGAGACACGGUCCAGACUCCUACGGGAGGAAGCAGUAGGGAAUCUUCCGCAAGGGGCGAAAGCCGGACGGAGCAACGCCGCGGGAGUGAUGAAGGUCUUCGGAUCGUAAAACUCUGUUAUUAGGGAAGAACAAAUGUGUAAGUAACUAUGCACGUCUUGACGGUACCUAAUCAGAAAGCCACGGCUAACUACGUG
RNAcentral lists this ribosomal RNA (497 nucleotides) under uncultured bacterium. Its description in RNAcentral is "partial 16S ribosomal RNA". It matches the Rfam family "Bacterial small subunit ribosomal RNA", at positions 28 to 507 of the family's 1533-position model. The record is from RNAcentral.